GAGAGUGCUUUCAGUCAAGCAAGACUACAAAUCAGUGAUCAUAGAGCGUCGAUGCGGGAGGGCUUGGAAAAAUCAGUGCUUUUUAGAGAUUGAAUACGGCGGAAAGAAGAAACUUUGGCACUGCAGAAUCACAACCAGCAAUAGAUGAAGCAUAUGAAGAAAUGAUAGCAGAACUUUCUGAGGAAUCGGCUUCACCCGGA
Molecule: long non-coding RNA, 200 nt
Filed under: Nicotiana benthamiana
Lineage: Eukaryota; Viridiplantae; Streptophyta; Magnoliopsida; Solanales; Solanaceae
Description: long non-coding RNA (NBEN_LNC009913)
Source: RNAcentral